UUUCUUUAGCUUAAUGGGCUUAAUCAUUCAAACACAGCUUUAAAAAAGCAUAUGAAUUUUUGUGAAAUAGCUUGAUCACGUGUUUAUCACAGAUAUCACUAUGCUGUACACGUGAAUGUACAAGUGUAAUGUGGUUGUUUGGGGAGAAUUUCAACUUUGUUUAUGUUUUUUUUACAUGCUGUGGCAAGUUUCGUUGUGGGGUGUGUGUGGAACUGUGUUGUGUUCUCAAAGCAGGCAUGCAACUUUGUGCUAAAAUACAAAGCAGGUAUGCAACUUCUUCUACUCCCAUCUAGGAAGAAGAAGUUAUCGAGUCAUUGGAGGGGUUUUAUUCAUCCUCUAAUGUGGCGCGCUGCAAAUGGAUACAAUUGAAAAUCAAAGAAAUUGAGUCUCAAGCAUCAAAAUAUGCCAGAGAAAUUGCAGCAUGUGAACAGAGGAAACAUUCAGGAAUUUACCAAUCUACGUUUGAAGAAAACAAGAAAUCCAAUCCAGAGGGCACUUCUCAUGAUAGAUGAUUUUAGCAAUACUGCAAUUACAGAACAACAUGCUGAUGGCGAUGAUUAAUCUGGCGUUGACAAUGACCAAUUGUUUAUCGAGUGUAAAUUCUUGGAGCAUGUCCUUUGGAAAAUUGAAAUAGUGCAUUUUCGGGUUCGCAAGCUGAAGAAUCAACUUGACAUGGUGAUAUCAAAGAAUGCCUCCAAGUUUUCAUCCUCGAGAGAAUUUGAGCUUCUUGCAGCUUGUGAUGCACAGGCUAGCUCUGCUUCUAGUCCUACAUUCUCUGCUGGAAAUGGAGAUGCGAUAUCAGGAGCUAUUUAUCCUGCAACUCAAAAUAUUCCUGGAUAUAACACUGGAGAUCUGGUUAUGCCUGAAAGCGCCAUGUCUUGUUUUGGUGGGGCUAUUCACGUGCCUGACAUUAUUGAAAGCACAGUGGGACUAUUGCCUGCUGCUGAUGUAACCUUCCAUCAGCAACAAAUUGGAGAUUCAAGUGAAGAUGUAAGAAUUCAUUAUAGUCAGUAUUUUCAUAGUCCAUACAAUUAUACAAUUCUUGUCUUCUGAUUGAAUCUGAAUGACUAGAUGAAAGUUUAGAUUUCUGAUA
Molecule: long non-coding RNA, 1093 nt
Organism: Populus nigra (black poplar)
Lineage: Eukaryota; Viridiplantae; Streptophyta; Magnoliopsida; Malpighiales; Salicaceae
Exons: 3
Source: RefSeq, a predicted model, not a curated record